RNAcentral lists this ribosomal RNA (638 nucleotides) under uncultured bacterium. Its description in RNAcentral is "bacterial SSU rRNA". It matches the Rfam family "Bacterial small subunit ribosomal RNA", at positions 66 to 744 of the family's 1533-position model. The record is from RNAcentral.
ACGCCCUGCUUCGGCAGGGAGUGGCAAACGAGGUAGUAACACGUGGGAACGCACCCUAUAGUCAGGAAUAACCCGUCGAAAGGCGGAUUAAUACCUGAUGGUCCCUUCGGGGUAAAGAUUUAUCGCUAUAGGAGCGGCCUGCGAGAUAUCAGCUUGUUGGUAGGGUAACGGCCUACCAAGGCUUCGACGUCUAGGGGAGGUGAGAGCCUGACCCCCACCGAUGGCACUGCGACACGGGCCAUACUCCUACGGGAGGCCGCAGUCGAGAAUCUUCCGCAAUGGGCGAAAGCCUGACGGAGCGACGCCGCGUGGCUGAUGAAGUCUUUCGGGACGUAAAAGCCUUUUCUGGAGGAAGAAGUUUAUUGACGGUACUUCAGGAAUAAGGGGCACCUAAUCACGUGCCAGCAGGUGCGGUAAUACGUGAGCCCCAAGCGUUACUCGGAAUUACUGGGCGUAAAGGGUGUGUAGGCGGUUAUGUUAGUCUCUCGUUAAAUAUACGGGCUCAACCUGUAUGCUGCGAGAGAAACGGCACAACUAGAGGAUGCGAGAGGUCUAUGGAACUCACGGUGUAGGGGUGAAAUCCGUUGAUAUCGUGGGGAACACCAAAAGCGAAGGCAAUAGACUGGCGCACUCCUGAC